UGGGGAAUAUUGCACAAUGGGCGCAAGCCUGAUGCAGCCAUGCCGCGUGUAUGAAGAAGGCCUUCGGGUUGUAAAGUACUUUCAGCGGGGAGGAAGGGAGUAAAGUUAAUACCUUUACUCAUUGACGUUACCCGCAGAAGAAGCACCGGCUAACUCCGUGCCAGCAGCCGCGGUAAUACGGAGGGUGCAAGCAUUAAUCGGAAUUACUGGGCGUAAAGCGCACGCAGGCGGUUUGUUAAGUCAGAUGUGAAAUCCCCGGGCUCAACCUGGGAACUGCAUCUGAUACUGGCAAGCUUGAGUCUCGUAGAGGGGGGUAGAAUUCCAGGUGUAGCGGUGAAAUGCGUAGAGAUCUGGAGGAACACCGGUGGCGAAGGCGGCCCCCUGGACGAAGACUGACGCUCAGGUGCGAAAGCGUGGGGAGCAAACAGG
This 429-nucleotide ribosomal RNA is filed under the name Chloroflexota bacterium. RNAcentral describes it as "Chloroflexi bacterium partial 16S ribosomal RNA". It matches the Rfam family "Bacterial small subunit ribosomal RNA", at positions 355 to 776 of the family's 1533-position model. The record is from RNAcentral. Lineage: Bacteria; Bacillati; Chloroflexota.